This 460-nucleotide ribosomal RNA is filed under the name uncultured bacterium. Its description in RNAcentral is "partial 16S ribosomal RNA". It matches the Rfam family "Bacterial small subunit ribosomal RNA", at positions 338 to 795 of the family's 1533-position model. The record is from RNAcentral.
GCUACGGGAGGCAGCAGUGAGGAAUAUUGGUCAAUGGGCGGAAGCCUGAACCAGCCAAGUCGCGUGAGGGAAUAAGGCCCUACGGGUGGUAAACCUCUUUUGCCGGGGAGCAAGGGCCGGGACGCGUCCCGGCCCGGACAGUACCCGGAGACAAAGCAUCGGCUGACUCCGUGCCAGCAGCCGCGGUAAUACGGAGGUUGCGAGCUUUAUCCGGCUUUAUUGGGUUAAAAGGGUGCGUAGGCGGGCUUUUAAGUCAGCGGUAAAAAUUCGGGGCUCAACCCCGUCCGGCCGUUGAAACUGGGGGCCUUGAGUGGGCGAGAGGUAGGCGGAAUGCGUGGUGUAGCGGUGAAAUGCAUAGAUAUCACGCAGAACCCCGAUUGCGAAGGCAGCCUACCGGCGCCCUACUGACGCUGAGGCACGAAAGUGCGGGGAUCGAACAGGAUUAGAUACCCUUGUAGUC